UGGUGGAGUGAUUUGUCUGGUUAAUUCCGUUAACGAACGAGACCUUAACCUACUAAAUAGUUAUGCCAACCUUCUGAAUUAAGGUGAAGGGGGCGGCGUGUACGGUGGGCUCCGGUUUGCCGUGCCGUCCUCCCGGAUCCCUGAUGCGUUGGUAGAUACACUUCUUAGAGGGACUAUUCGAUCCGAAGCGAAUGGAAGUUUGAGGCGAUAACA
This 213-nucleotide ribosomal RNA is filed under the name uncultured eukaryote. RNAcentral describes it as "partial 18S ribosomal RNA". It matches the Rfam family "Eukaryotic small subunit ribosomal RNA", at positions 1299 to 1458 of the family's 1831-position model. The record is from RNAcentral.